RNAcentral lists this ribosomal RNA (253 nucleotides) under uncultured bacterium. RNAcentral's name for it is "partial 16S ribosomal RNA". It matches the Rfam family "Bacterial small subunit ribosomal RNA", at positions 524 to 776 of the family's 1533-position model. The record is from RNAcentral.
UACGGGGGGGGGAAGCGUUGUUCGGAAUUACUGGGCGUAAAGGGCUCGUAGGCGGCCAACUAAGUCAGACGUGAAAUCCCUCAGCUUAACUGGGGAACUGCGUCUGAUACUGGAUGGCUUGGAUUCGGGAGAGGAAUGCGGAAUUCCAGGUGUAGCGGUGAAAUGCGUAGAUAUCUGGAGGAACACCGGUGGCGAAGGCGACUACCUGGCCUGUUCUUGACGCUGAGGCGCGAAAGCUAGGGGAGCAAACGGG